RNAcentral lists this transfer RNA (85 nucleotides) under Felis catus (domestic cat). It matches the Rfam family "tRNA". Rfam says of the family: Transfer RNA (tRNA) molecules are approximately 80 nucleotides in length. Their secondary structure includes four short double-helical elements and three loops (D, anti-codon, and T loops). Lineage: Eukaryota; Metazoa; Chordata; Mammalia; Carnivora; Felidae. The record is from Rfam by way of RNAcentral.
GCCUGGGUGGCUCAGUUGGUUGAGCUCCCGACUUUGGCUCAGGUCAUGAUUUCACAGUUCGUGGGUUUGAGCCCCGCAUCGGGCU